Mastomys coucha (southern multimammate mouse) is the source of this 1143-nucleotide long non-coding RNA. RefSeq lists it as uncharacterized. The record is from RefSeq and is a predicted model, not a curated record. The transcript is spliced from 6 exons. Lineage: Eukaryota; Metazoa; Chordata; Mammalia; Rodentia; Muridae.
CUGCCCUGCAUUCCUCCAACUAACUUGCACAUGUGAUUUUUUCAAUUCCCAUGAAAUCCCUGAGAGUUACUAUAACUCUACUCUACAGGUAUGGGGAAAUUGAGGUUUGAAGAGUGCUAUGGCUCCAGUUACUGCUCCCAGGAUUACUCUCAUCUGCUGGAUUCUCCAAGAAUGCUGAGAGCCAGGCUAGGGUACUCUCCAACGGAAAGAGAAUAACCCAGUGUACCUUCCAACUAGCAGGACAAAAUGAGAAGAUAUGAGAGAACUAUCUAAGCUUUAGAGCUUGGCUCUCUCUAGCCUAGCAGUCAUUUUGGAUGGGAUCUAAGGAUGAGAGUGUCAAAGAAGCUGAAGUGUCAGAUCCCACUUGGUCAUAAUGACUUUUCUGGUUAAAGAAGGUAUGACAGACUCCAAGGAGGGACUAUUGCCAGACCUAACCAGGUCAUCAGUAUCUACAGGAGAGUCACUUCCAGGAUCAGUUACAUCUACACACUGGCACACUUGGAAUGUUUAAGUUAUCUGUCUAUUACAAAACAACUUAAGUCAACAUUACUGACAGACAAUGCAUGGCCGGGUUAACAUACUUUCAAGAAGGUCAACGUUGUGUGCAUGGAAAAUUAAGACAAUUAAGAAUGAAACACAAGUGCACCAGGCCCUUAAAGAAUUUCUAAAGGAAGAAACUGGACUACAGAGUGAUCCAUAUGGCUACUUAUGCAAGGUCAUAGAGACUAACUACAGCAGAGGUGCUAUUUGAGCUGUGGACUUUGGAGCCAAUCCUUGGAACUACCUUUGGAAACUUGCUCUACUUAACAAGACAUUCUUUGUUUGGCUUCCUAGGGAAGAUGGUCUGUACUACUGGGUUCUGAAUCAGUGAGUUUACUAAAUAUACAGCAAGCAAACAUAAAAUAAUCAAUAGUGAUUCAUGGACAGAGAAGUAGUUAAUAGCAAAACAACAUCUAAGCAUGCACUCACAAUUGCCCAACAGAAACCAACUCUGGAAGUUGAGCCAGUCAGCUGUAGCUUCUGAUCGAGAGUCUUGGAUAGGAGGUCCUCUGUCCUUUCCAUUCAUUAUCUUCCCAUGGCUUAUACACAGGUUUUCCUGUCUUAAUUCUGUGCAUUUUUGAAUCAUGAAAUAAACUAUUUUAA